AUGCCACCGCCGCAGCAUCAGCAGUUGGAGGAGGUGAUGGGCCACGGCGAUCCCAUGCUAGUGGCGAUGCGCAACAAUUACCGCCAGAGGAUAUUGGAGCAUGCAGAAAGGGUGGUAACUGCGAGAUUACAUAAAGGAUUGAGGGUACCUGCUGACUGGCAGCGGGGGCUGCCGGAGCUUGCUAGGCGGGUCGAGAAAGUCUUGUUUGAGAAACACCCAAACAAGGUGUGCCAUCUCUUGACUAGGAAGAGGGAGUACUACAACAUGACGAAUGAACCAAUUCAUCCACAUUUCGAGUUUGCUGUCACGACCUCGCUUGCUCAGACUGAGAGGCAGAGAGCAUCUUCCACUGCCUAUGCUCGUGUCACCCAAGGGGAUACCACCAACGAGCUUGUGAGCACAGUACUAUCUCUGGGGAUGAACUCUAGUGAUGACCACUCGCAAGUGUCGAACAGCAUCUUGGCAAACCGUGCACCUGCUAAUAAGGAGGUCUCAAAGGAACCAAAGUUCACCUGUCCAUUCUGCUUUGACGAGCUGGUCGAUGCGACGAUGCGUCAUCGACUAUCUGCGGCCACAUCUUCUGCGACAAGUGCAUCAAGUUCUCCGUCCAGGCUCAGAACAGGUGCCCUACCUGCUGGAGGGGCCUCACCAUGA
Molecule: ribosomal RNA, 654 nt
Filed under: Triticum aestivum (bread wheat)
Lineage: Eukaryota; Viridiplantae; Streptophyta; Magnoliopsida; Poales; Poaceae
Description: partial small subunit ribosomal RNA
Source: RNAcentral